RNAcentral lists this small nuclear RNA (23 nucleotides) under Arabidopsis thaliana (thale cress). Its description in RNAcentral is "snRNA_02712". The record is from RNAcentral. Lineage: Eukaryota; Viridiplantae; Streptophyta; Magnoliopsida; Brassicales; Brassicaceae.
AAAUGGAUAUUAUUAGACUGGGU